AUUGAACGCUGGCGGCAUGCCUUACACAUGCAAGUCGAACGGUAACAGGGAGCUUGCUCCGCUGACGAGUGGCGAACGGGUGAGUAAUGUAUCGGAACGUACCUUUUAGUGGGGGAUAACGUAGCGAAAGUUACGCUAAUACCGCAUAUUCUCUGAGGAGGAAAGCAGGGGACCUUCGGGCCUUGCGCUAAUAGAGCGGCUGAUAUCAGAUUAGCUAGUUGGUGAGGUAAAGGCUCACCAAGGCGACGAUCUGUAGCGGGUCUGAGAGGAUGAUCCGCCACACUGGAACUGAGACACGGUCCAGACUCCUACGGGAGGCAGCAGUGGGGAAUUUUGGACAAUGGGGGCAACCCUGAUCCAGCCAUGCCGCGUGAGUGAAGAAGGCCUUCGGGUUGUAAAGCUCUUUCGGCCGGGAAAAAAUCGCAUGGGUUAAUACCCUGUGUGGAUUGACGUUACCCGCAGAAGAAGCACCGGCUAACUCCGUGCCAGCAGCCGCAGUAA
This 501-nucleotide ribosomal RNA is filed under the name uncultured bacterium. RNAcentral describes it as "partial 16S ribosomal RNA". It matches the Rfam family "Bacterial small subunit ribosomal RNA", at positions 30 to 523 of the family's 1533-position model. The record is from RNAcentral.